This 3889-nucleotide long non-coding RNA is filed under the name Equus caballus (horse). Its description in RNAcentral is "lncRNA (ENSECAG00000055930.1)". Lineage: Eukaryota; Metazoa; Chordata; Mammalia; Perissodactyla; Equidae. The record is from RNAcentral.
CCUCUCUUGAGCUCUCGAAGGUCAUAAUUUGGAAAUCAUUCUUUUCCUGUGAAAACCGGAAAGCUCAUUUUUUUCCCUGUUCUUUUGAUAGGAGCUGUAAUAAAAGUUCCCAUAGGCAAGGGCUUUUGAUUUGAUAGGAUGCAGUGGCUGUCUUUUGAGGGAAGUCCUGGAAAAUGCAUUGCUGCUUUUUUUUUUUUUUUUUUUCUCUCAGUUGCAUGUGUCUUUUCUCCUCUGAGCUUCAUGUCCAAGCAUGAUGUCCCCCAUAUGUCUUCGGGACAUCCCAGGUCCUUUUGCAAAUGGACACUACAGAAGAAACAAAAACUGGUUGGAGUGCAUAAAGGAUCUUUCAGGAACGUCCUAAAGGGGCUGUUUGAGAGGCACUAAAUUCUAAAGUAUUUGCUGACAUUUAUGGUCCAGCUUCAAAUUAUUAAAUGUCCUUCUGAUCACGUGAUGCCAUGUUUUGCAUGGUGUGACAUAUCUGUCCUCUUUUAAAUGCGUAGGAAUUGGCCACACUCUCAUUUCGCUGGUGGGUUUGCAGAAGCCUUAUCGCAGGACAGCCAGAAUGAUUGAUGAGUGCUUUUCAGGUAGAGAAAUGCUGCCAGCUGGGUGUGUAUUUUUUCUUACCUAGAGUUUUGCUUCUUAAUUUUCUGUUUCAGUUGAGAAUAAUCCCUUUUCGUGCUAGUAGCCAUAAUCAUAUUAUAAGAGACUUGAAAAUUGUCAUUUCCCAGUAGUAUUUCUCACAGUGUAAGCAUUUUUAUUUAAUGUAAGAUUGCUUUCCUAUUUUUUUUUUCCUACGCUGUGGGAGAUACAGACCAACAUUUAGAUUUCCUAGUUUUAAUUGGAAGAACUCAGGUCACGUUGUGGUCAAGUGAAGUUAGAGUGAUGAGGGGAAUCUGGACUCCAUCUGAAAUGGCAGCAAUAUGAGAUGUGAUGUACCUUGGCAGUUUUUAAAAAGUAAGGCAAAUUGUGCCUGAGAAUCUGAUGGCUUUGGUAAAUAUGGGAUCUAGUGAGGCAGUAUUCAUUUCUGCCUCUCCCCCUGUAUUCAUUUGAUCCUGUUUGUUUUUUUCUGUCUUCUGAAAUGUACUCUAGAGACAGCCAUUCUUGAAAGAACCGCAUGCCUCUCCCUGGCUGGACAGGCCCAGAGAGGGAGAUAAGCAAGCCAUUCGUAGAUACUUAUUUUCAAAAUUCAGAUGGGCCUUCAAGGCAAUUAAUGUGAGUUAGGUUCUAUCAAAUGUGCAUCUAGAGAUGUUUGAUAACUUUAGUGCCCAUGAUACCCCAACUCACGCUACGUUUUUAAAAUCAGUGAUGGGCAACAUGUUAUAACAUUGAUCUUAGAUGAAUGCUACCUAAACCUGGUAUAUAUAUAUUUUUUCCCAGCAGUUAACUGAGCCAUGACAUCAACAUCAGUUCACAUCACUUUGGUUACAGUUCAGUCAUUUUGAGAAAGGUUUCAGAGCCUUUUUAAAUGAAAAGUUCAUGUAAACAUACCAUCUCCCCUAAUAUUGAACCAUUUCAUACCAGGAAUGUCAGUUUUGAAGCUAAAAGACUGUUCCACAGUAAUUCCCACGGCAUUAAAAAAGAAUCAGUUUACGAAAAAGAACUAAAAAACUCUGAAGAAUUGAAAAAAAAAAGGGGGGGGGGGCCAACUGGGUACUAAGGAGCAAUUUGGGAUUAUGUUGAUCCUCCCAGGCUGGCAGUCUCCGGGCAGCAGAGUUCACACAGCUGGAUCAGAGUUCCACCCUGUAGUUUCUCUUUCCACUUGGACAGAAAUGGAGGUGUUGGGCCUAUAAUCUGGUCCUUGCCCAAAGCCAAGUUAGUGUUAUGCAGUGUUUCUGUUUUGAACACAUUUGUCCUUAUUUUCCCUUUUCUCUGUUUGCCCACUAGAAGGGAAAAAAAUCAUCAGAGGUACUGCUGGGGUGGAGCCACACUGAUUGCAAUGCCCCAGAGUUUUCUAGGUUAACAAAUUAGAGCUUUUCAGCCGGCUGAGUAGGGGUGGGCUGCAGCUGCUCUGUCCUGCCUUUCUCGAGUUCCCUUCCCACUGCAGAAGAGAAAGGAGAAGCCUGGUUGCUGAGCUUGGAGGACAUGCUAGUUGGGGAGCAUGAGGACAGUUGACAGCCGCUGUGUCUUUUUGUGGGGAGAGGAUUUACAGUGUAUUCUUGGACCGUGUGGGAUGAAAAAUCCCCACCUUUUUAGUUGGCUACUUUUGUGACAUUGCUGUGUGUGCCUCCGAGCUCGGCAGUCCUGGGCUGGAGAGGAUGGUGUGGAUUAAGAUUCGGGUGAGGAUGGAUGGGGAGGAGGUUGCAGCCUCUUGGGCUCCAUCAGAAGUGGAGUCAGCAUCCAGGGAGGCCGAGACAAACCCUUUGGCCGGUGUCCUUAAGCUCUCCGGGUGAAUUAGAAAGGAUCUUGGUCAAUUGUGUGGGAGUUGAGAAAACAAUGAGCCAGCUUGAUUUGCCUUGGAGGAAUAAAAUUUCUCAUGCUGCCUCCUCCUGCUUCUCUCUGCUGGGGGUGUGGAAGAAGCAGCGAGGGGAAGUGGGAGGUUUUCUGCUGGAGUUUAUUGAAAAAACAGCUGCCCUAUUCUAUCCAUUUCCCUCCCUCGCUAACCUUCGUCGCGCCCCAUCCUUUCUGUGGCAGGAUAUAACUAUGCUGUAAACUUUGGCAGUGGUGAAGCAUGUUAAUACAUUUUGAAACAAGAACUUUUUUUGGCAUGGAGCUGUUAGGUUAAAGCUGGAAGAAAAAGGAUAAAUAAAAUUUGAUAUAGUCAUUCUAGAAAUGGUUUGUAUUUGUCCAGAAGAGAGUCAGAGUUCAGUGGGUUUGUGUCUAAAAGAGCCAAACUGAGAUAAGGUAACGAGCCAGUAUUCCAAACUGGCAAGUGCGUGCCAGAACUUGAAAGGAGGUUUGCAGCUCCGCCUUUAUUAUCAUAACCUCUUGAACAGAAUAUGCCAUUUGAAACGACAGUAAAUGCUGCUCAGUGGAUAAGUUUAUGACCUAGUUUUUAACCAAGAGCACUUCUGAGAUUGAACGGUGCAGAGAAGAGCAAAGGAGCUUGGUCACCAUUGGCGAGAAGUUCUGUGCAAAUCAGGAGCUGGGGGCUAAUUAGAACCCCGAGACAUUAAGGAGCAGCUGUUUGAUGGUGUGAACUUUUGCACAGAGGUUUUCAAGAGGCUAAUUCUCCUUGGAAGUCUGUUUGCAAAGUGGUUCUUUCCUGGCGGUUGCUUCAUUCUUCUUCGCAGGCCUAUUUUCACUGAGUGGGAGCGUUUUGUGCCAAACCUAGCAAUGACCUUAUGGCGCCCGGAGCUGCCGCAGAGCCUGACCCAGCACUGAAUGUGGAGGGAGGGUCUUUUUUCAGCUCUGUUGGCUCUGGGGUCGGCCCACACCGCAGAGCUGCAGUUGAGGAACAGAAAGGAAGGGGGAUGUCCACAGAAUGUUUCUUCUGCCUUUCCCUCUCGUAAACUGCAUGCUCAGCCCCCUCGUCCCUCCUGCCUUCUCUGAACUCGUACACUCACUACCCGUCCCCUUCUGCAUUCUGUUAAAUCUGAACUCACUUUCUUGUUCCAUCCAUUUAACAUGGGAGAAGAUGUUUUUCAGGGGAGAUUUUGAGAAAUGAAUUGAAGUGUGUCUAAAGUUCACCAAUGGUGUAGAUCUUAGGGUAUGGUUAGCACAUUUUUGCAGCCCCCUCGCCCCCCAGUUCUUCCUUUGUCUUUUCCUGCCUCCCUCCUUCCUUCACAGUUGUUUCUCUUUCUAUCCUCCCACUUGCAUUUGCUUUUACAGUGGAACUACUAAAGUAAACAUACUUAGACAUGUUUUAGAAAGUAAAAUCCCUCUCUAAAAUGUACCAUUAAGGGCACCAUGCAGAGUCUGGGAUCCAUGAGAAAUUGUAGGCUUAAAAGGG